Molecule: ribosomal RNA, 252 nt
Filed under: uncultured bacterium
Lineage: Bacteria
Description: partial 16S ribosomal RNA
Rfam family: Bacterial small subunit ribosomal RNA
Source: RNAcentral
UACGUAGGUAGCGAGCGUUAUCCGGAAUUACUGGGUGUAAAGGGAGCGUAGGCGGGAUUGCAAGUUGAAUGUUAAACCUAUGGGCUUAACCCAUAGUUGCGUUCAAAACUGCAGUUCUUGAGUGAAGUAGAGGCAGGCGGUAUUCCUAGUGUAGCGGUGAAAUGCGUAAAUAUUAGGAGGAACACCAGUGGCGAAGGCGGCCUGCUGGGCUUUAACUGACGCUGAGGCUCGAAAGCGUGGGUAGCAAACAGG